RNAcentral lists this unclassified non-coding RNA (1016 nucleotides) under Hevea brasiliensis (rubber tree). Lineage: Eukaryota; Viridiplantae; Streptophyta; Magnoliopsida; Malpighiales; Euphorbiaceae. The record is from RNAcentral.
CUAAAUUUUAUCUUUCCAUACUGCAUUAAAAAGUUUUAGGUAUAAUUUUGUAAUUUUGAACUUUGGUUUUUAACUUGAUCUCUCUUGCAGAGUUGUGGGUUAAUGGCAUAAGGUCUCUUCCUGUGGCUGGUGCAGAGCCCCUGGCUGCAAUUGAAUCCUAUCACACGAGGUUGAAAUUAAAGCUUUUUAAUGAGCGACAUUCCAAUUCCUGGACGAGGAUUGACUGGUUAAUCUACACUUUGACCACUGAAUUUCACUCCUUAUAUUGGUUAGAUCAAUACAGUGAAGAAAGUGGGUAUUUUGCAAAUAUAAGGGAUGAGUCUUUCUUAACUAAUUCUUUGCAUCAGGCUUUGCAUAUUUCUGACAUUGAUGUGAUGUUGGAUGAGCAAAAUCUCCAACUUGCAAAAGUCAUCUCUCAAACUGACAAAAGUCUAGCAUGUAUAGUUUGGAAUCCUGGUACAGAAUUCUCCCUAUGUGAUCAAGGCUAGGAAAUCUUUGUAAGCAUGUCAUUAAGGUGGCAAUCUUAUGUAAAAGUCGGCAGGUUGCAAGGCCGUUAUUGGCAGUUCAAGUUUAUUGGCAAGCCUUGCUUACCCUUAUGCAGAAUCCUCCUGAUGAUCCUCUAGUUAUCGAGCAUGCAACUUGCUUGCAACACGAUAUCAAAGGCUUGGAAGACUUGUCUAACAGUGGUUUGCUCCAGCCUUUACCUCCUGAAGUGAACCCUCAAAUAGGAGAGAAUCUGCUUUUUCCACGUUUUCUUUGAUUGGGCCUUUGAAAGGUGAUCAGAUUUUCAUUGUCAGCUUUCUAGUUAUACAACUGAUGUUUUAGAUGAGAAUAGGAAAUUUUGUUCCGUCUGCUGCAAUCUGACUCAUACCAAGUCAUUAAUUUGCACCAGCGUGCUUCAAAAAGUUCAGUUCCUGCGUGCAUGAAUUUCAGAUUCUUCAGCAGUGUAGAUACAUUGCAUUGACUUUCGUAUUUUGCCGUAUCCUUAACUGGGGCAUGGAGAGAGAGAGAGACAC